GCGGGUGUAGUGUAGUCUGGUUAUCACCCAAGCUUGCCAAGCUUGCAACCCGGGUUCAAAUCCCGGCGCCCGCA
Molecule: transfer RNA, 74 nt
Filed under: Thermoplasmata archaeon
Lineage: Archaea; Methanobacteriati; Thermoplasmatota; Thermoplasmata
Also listed under: 3 other names
Description: tRNA-Gly
Rfam family: tRNA
About the family: Transfer RNA (tRNA) molecules are approximately 80 nucleotides in length.
Source: RNAcentral